Molecule: small nucleolar RNA, 92 nt
Filed under: Drosophila virilis
Lineage: Eukaryota; Metazoa; Arthropoda; Insecta; Diptera; Drosophilidae
Description: snoRNA:GJ25446
Source: RNAcentral
UUUUGCAAAUUAAGAAACGAUUAAUGGAUGCUGGCGUGUGUCACACAAAUUAAAUAACACAUUCGCAUCAUUCCAUAAAUAAUCGUACAUAU